ACCUGGGAUGAGGUAGGGAUACCCGCUGAACUUAAGCAUAUCAAUAAGCGGAGGAAAAGAAACCAACAGGGAUUGCCUCAGUAACGGCGAGUGAAGCGGCAACAGCUCAAAUUUGAAAUCUGGUCCUUUCAGGUCCCGAGUUGUAAUUUGUAGAAGAUGCUUCGAGCGUGGCUCCGGUCUAAGUCCCUUGGAACAGGGCGUCAUAGAGGGUGAGAAUCCCGUAUGUGACUGGCUGCCUCCGUUCAUGUGAAGCUCUUUCGACGAGUCGAGUUGUUUGGGAAUGCAGCUCAAAAUGGGUGGUAAAUUUCAUCUAAAGCUAAAUAUUGGCCAGAGACCGAUAGCGCACAAGUAGAGUGAUCGAAAGAUGAAAAGCACUUUGGAAAGAGAGUUAAACAGUACGUGAA
RNAcentral lists this ribosomal RNA (404 nucleotides) under Helotiales sp. O_1_LILB_26_5e. Its description in RNAcentral is "eukaryotic LSU rRNA". It matches the Rfam family "Eukaryotic large subunit ribosomal RNA", at positions 1 to 403 of the family's 3401-position model. The record is from RNAcentral. Lineage: Eukaryota; Fungi; Ascomycota; Leotiomycetes; Helotiales.